UUUGGGUUAGUGACAUAGUCAUAGGCUAAGAUCCGCGACUCCACUUCCCGAACCCUUUGGGCACCAUGGCUUCGAGCCUAGCACCUUCCCUUGUCUCCGGUAAUACGUCUUGGGAGAGGUUACGCCAGCAGGUUGCCCAAUUCUCGGGUCAUCCCCGCACUUCUUCUAUCUCAUCAUCAUCUUCUUCUUCUUAUCUCUAAACUAAGCCAUCAUCAAUUCACUCUUAUUGUUCUCUUUCUUAUCUAUUUUUUCUUCUUCUCUGCCACUCAAGCCUUUAAAGACUAGAACCACUAUCCCAUAUGUGCAUUAGGAGGAGGUUACCAUACGCGAAUUCUACUAGCAAUCUUUUAGUAAGAUUUCAAGUGAGAUAUUAAUUUUUGAGGGGGCCUAAUUCAUACCACGCCAUUGGACAGCCGUAAGGCUUUUGUAAUUGAUCUAAGAGGGCUACAACCCGGACGCGUCCCACAAACUCAAUCGGUGAGGUAGGUGUUUGAGUCCACCUCUUGACCGCUUUAAAAUCCUCUCACUAUUGGAAUACCUAUCCGCACAUGGCACGCGAGUGCACACACGCGUGUGGGUCGAGCGGUUGUUCGAGAGGGUGUUCAUCAAGCCUGGUUCCCCGAAGGAGCCUGAACGACAAUAAAUCCAAGCCCA
RNAcentral lists this long non-coding RNA (654 nucleotides) under Amborella trichopoda. Its description in RNAcentral is "long non-coding RNA (ATRI_LNC003455)". The record is from RNAcentral. Lineage: Eukaryota; Viridiplantae; Streptophyta; Magnoliopsida; Amborellales; Amborellaceae.